ACUCGGGUCCCGCUCCUGUCUCUCUGAAGAGAAAAUGCCUAGGGUCUAGGACGCACUUGAGUACCUGUUUGCUUUCGAAUUUCUCUUUGAACCACACUCGGGAGUCCAGGUUCCGGGGAAACUCCAGGACCUCCUUCUAACCCACACCGUCUGGGGCCCUACCCAAUGCGUCCUUCCUACACUCCAAUCUUUGUCAAGAGACAGUCAUUACGCAGCAGUCGGUGCUCUGGGAGCCGUCGGUGUUGGCUUUCACCACGCGCUCAGCUGCGCGGGUUGUGUGUUUUCGCAUUUUAUCCUGAGAUGUGGUACGGGCAAUAUACCAGCGGACAGCACAUUUGCGGAGUGCCAGGUACCCUCUAGGCAUACCUGGGGAAAUGUAACCUCACUUUCUACUCUACAACGGGCAGGUUGUCCGUUCAAUUUUAGGAGGUGGAGAAGGGGAGACAGCGCAACUUGGUGAGUGGAUGUGUUUGCAGUCAGGAGUAUAUUUAAACAUUUCAGCAAACCCAGUGCGGUCGGUUGUUUACAGUUGCGGAGACGGACGAUCUCACUCCACUCGUAGAUGUCGUCUCAACAUGUGGAUUUACAGUCGUUUCCGCAGGAACCGGCUGAGACGCCUGAGGUCCGGGCUCCGGCAGCGCCCGGCGGGGCUGAGCACCUGGCGAGGGGGCGGGGGACCGCACCUGGGGACGCCACUGAAACUUGCGCCUGGACUAGGAAUUACAAGGGUGACCUUUAUUCAGCUGUCUCCUUUUCGAUUCUCAUAACUUCUGGAUCUAUCAAGCCUAUUUGAAGCAAGAAAAGCUUGAAAAAAAUGGAUGAAUCCAUGUUUAACUGCAAAGGAAAAGAUUGAAUGAGGAAGGUCUGGCUUGCUAAUUAUGAACCCUUUAACUUUUUUAUACCUCACUAAAUGCUGCAUUCAGAGAAGGUGAUGGCACCCCACUCCAGUACUCUUGCCUGGAAAAUCCCAUGGACGGAGGAGCCUGGUAGGCUGCAGUCAGUCCGUGGGGUCGCUAAGAGUCGGACACAACUGAGCGACCUCAUUUUCACUUUCAUGCUUUAGAGAAGGAAAUGGCAACCCACUCCAGUGUUCUUGCCUGGAGAAUCUCAGGGACAGGGGAGCCUGGUGGGCUGCCGUCUAUGGGGUCACCCAGAUUUGGACAAGACUGAAGUGACUUAGCAGCAGCAGCAGCAGCAGCAAAUGCUGCAUUAACUUAAAAUGUGAAUAAAUUUUCCUUAUCAAUAUGAAAAACCUGCCAUUAACUCUACCCUUCAUUGUAUUUACUAUUAACUCUAUCUCUCAUCCUCUAUCCAGUCCCUAGUUUUGGCUGGUUCUGCAUCAGAAAUAUCUUCUUAAAUUGAUCUUUAUACCUCUCUGUGUUGACAUGUUGACUUCGUGUUCACAUAAAAUUCACAAAUGUUGUCUUGUGAAUUUUGCUGAUCUUUACUGCAUAUUAAAAGGUAUAAAAGUUCUCUUUGAAAAGGGAUAGUGUUAUAGUUAGGAUUGCUAUCAUAGUUUCCAUAAUUCAGAAAGUUAGAAAGCACGUUGUAAAGAGUUAACUUUGUCCUAUGCCAGUGAACCCAACUUUGAUCAAACUAAACUCGAGUCCUCAGCUCUGAGAGGGCAUUUGUUCUCAGUGUUUUCUGCUUGAUUUCCCUCAGUUGAAAUGAAAUGGAUGAAUAAUUUUAAUUUGUCUUUUUUGCAUUCAAAUAUAAAAAGUCAUUGAGUGUUAGUUGAAAAUUUAUGAAGUGACAGUCUUGUUAAUAAAGAUAAAUGAGAUGGCUUGUUUUAUUAAUAUUAAUGUUGCACAUAAUGUAGCUCUGCUAAAUAAAUAUAGGGUUACAUUUUGCAAAUUUUGCAAACUAAAAAAAAAAAUCUAUAGCGUUUGUAGAGCUUAAGGCCAAGUUGUGAUCUUCAGGUGCAUUUUAUUUGUGGGUAAAUUUAAAAAAUUGGAAGAUCACUUGAAUUUAUUUUAAAUGUUUCUAAGAAAAUAUUGUUACAGAUUUAAUGAUUUCCAGUAUUUGUAGUGAUGUCUCAAUCAUCAUACUUAAACAAUGAGGACUAAUGUAAAACAUAUAGAUGUCUGGUAAAUGAAAGGCAGAAUCCUCCAUGCUUUAAUAUAAGUCAGUCCCAUCAUUAUGAACUCCAUAGGGGAGUCACAUGUUCUGGCUACAGUGAAAUGCUUAUAGCCUCAAAGAAAAAGUCAGGCCCAGAUUUUCUGUGGAAGAUGGGUACUGAAUUAAUAGGGGAAAAUGGGAAAGGAGAAAGUCUUGGGCAUGUCUUCAUUUCACUCAUUUAUUCUUUAAAUAUUUGUGAGUGCCUAUUAUGAGAUGGUUGGUCCAUUACCAACUCAAUGGACAUGAAUCUGAGCAAACUCUGGGAGACAGUGAAGGACAAGGAAGCCUGGUGUGCUACAGUCCAUGGUGUUGCAAAGAGUUGGACACGACUUAACAACUGAGCAGCAACAACAACAAAAAUUAUGUACCAGGUCUAUGAUGGGUCCUGUGAAUAAGACAGUUCUUGCCCUCAUGGCUGUUCAUCCCUUUACUUCUCAGAUGGGGUGCUCAUGUGCUUCAAUGAUAUUUUUGCUUCUCUUGGAAUUUGGCUGAAUCCUUCUGGUCAAAGUCCUAACUUAGUAAAGAUGAUUAAGAUGUUGAGGUAGAGAGAAGGGAGGUAAGUUAUUGCUGAACAAAAAUGAUGUGAAAAGCUUAGGUAUUCUCUCCUUAACCUCUUUCCCUUUUGACUGCAUGCCUAAGCUUUCACAAUGGAUUAGCAAGUGGAAUGUGUGGGGUGGCAGCACAGGACUCGAUUUCAAGUUUUUUCAUGAUUAUUUUGGAAAGUGAUAGAAAUUAGAAGCCCAGUUUGGCUACACCAGAGGUAGUUCACUUCAGUUCAGUCGCUCAGUCGUGUCCGAUGCUUUGCGACCCCAUGAAUCGCAGCACACCAGGCCUCCCUGUCCAUCACCAACU
Long non-coding RNA from Bos grunniens (domestic yak), 2970 nucleotides. NCBI's taxonomy places the organism in Eukaryota, Metazoa, Chordata, Mammalia, Artiodactyla, Bovidae. The record is from Ensembl.